CCGAUCAGGGGCACCGAUCAGGUUCGCCCCCGCACAACCCUCCUGGCAGGGGGAAAUUUCUGCCUGUGGAAACCAAUUUGAAACGCUUUUGGUAGACUCACAGUUAAUGGAUGCAAUAUUCUCAUUUCCAAGAUUGAUCACACCAUGUAUUGCCAUGGUUUCGAUAAAUUGUACCACACUACAUUGUCAUGCGUGCAGAACAUCAACGUGGCAUGAGAUAAGUGGAAAUAUCAAGUCCAUUCCUCUUGAUGGUUCUUAAGAGAGUGAGCUAAUCUAAGACAAGGUAGCAUAGGGAUGCUAUAAUACAUCUCAAAAAUCCUAAACUACCAAUUUCUGGAAGUGCUGCUUUGUGAACAGGACAGGAUUGGAUUCGGUUGAGAAGCUAUCCUUUAUUUUCUGCCACUUUUCCCAUUAGCCCUCAUCUGAAAGCAUCGACAUCGUGCUAGUGAACGAUUCCAUAGUCACAAGGCCAGUAUCUCAAAGAGAUUUUUCAGCAACCGCAGCAUAUGCCAAACCAGGCCAAACACAUUCUGGGAUUAACUUGGAUUCAAUGGUCCACCUAAUUUAAUUCCUUCUAGAUGCUGCCACCUUGUUUCGUUUAUAUUCACUUUUGAUCCCAUUCUACACUGCCAUCUUCAUCACUUGGCUUUGCUAAGAAGCAAUCCUGUCAGGAACCAAUCCUCCAACAUUCAUCUUCAAAAGCAGAAUUCUUGGUCUUGUCUCAAUAUAUCAACAUUCGAAGACAUAAAGCGUGAACUUCAUACACAAUUCAAAACAGCAUAUUCUUCUAUGAAAUUAUAUCCUGUCUUGCACCAUAUAUUCCAAAUAAGAAUGUGACAAUGGGAAGAAAGAAAAAAAAAACAAUUAAAAGGACAACCUGAAGACAACAAUUAUGCAUCAAGUUGAAUUAUUCUCAGUUACACAUUAAUAGUACAGGAAUCUACAAAUCAAAAUAAGCAAAACAAGCAGUUACCAAUAAUUUAGUAAAUCGUACAAUUCACUGCUAUAAGUUAACAAUUCUCCCUGUUUAUAUCAAUAUGAACUGAAGUCAUGUGUUCUAAGAAUCGUGGUUGUAGAAAAAUAGAGGCUCAAUGUAUUGAACGUAAACCAAUGUGUAGCUGAACUAGAACAGUAGCCAUAUAAAUAUUGAGAAUUGUUUUAAAGAUUAAUUAUUUCAAAAUUACCUGCUGCAGAGUACAAUUCACAACCUGCCUUUUUGCCAUAUUUCCAUUUUUGCAGGUAGCCCUAUGAAUCAAGGUCUAAAUUGUAGCUACAUUUCUGCAGUAUAUUUUAGGUUUGGCGCAGCUUACUGCAAGUAACUUGAGCAGGAAUAAAGCAAACCCCAAAGUAUUAUGCAAAAUCUGACAUUUAAUUUUUUAAGUGUUAAUAAUGAAAUGUGCAUUUAAGGUGUAUAAUCUUGAAUUACAAAAGAAAUGAAAUUACUCUGCUGUUACUUAAACUGCGGAUACAAACUUCAGCACCUCUACAAUACAUCAAAAUUUGGGUAAAUUUUAAUAUGAAAGUCAAUGUUUAAACUUGGGUUCAUAUAAAUAAAUUGCAAGCAAUAAAUUUUACAUUGUAUAAACCUGCAGAAUGAAAAAUUCUAAAUUUUCUACUACUAAUACCAAAUAAAUUUGCUAUAUCAAAAUUUAUUUCAGCAGUUUAGUGCAAAGUAUACGUUUUACAGGAACAAAUCGAUGUAUAAAAUAGUUGCUAUAUUUGCCUAUGUGAUAACUACAGCAAUUCAACAUAACUCAUCGUACAUGAGGCUCAGAUUUUUGGGAUAAAAAAGGCACAAAUAAAAUCUAAGUCUUCCUUUUCAUUAAAGCAUUAGUGUACAGGCUGCUUACCUGUAUAAAACACACAUGAUUUGAUAAAUAAAGAUGGAAAAUUUAA
This is a long non-coding RNA of Carcharodon carcharias (great white shark), 1896 nucleotides long. RefSeq lists it as uncharacterized. The transcript is spliced from 2 exons. The record is from RefSeq and is a predicted model, not a curated record. Lineage: Eukaryota; Metazoa; Chordata; Chondrichthyes; Lamniformes; Lamnidae.